This 492-nucleotide ribosomal RNA is filed under the name uncultured bacterium. RNAcentral's name for it is "partial 16S ribosomal RNA". It matches the Rfam family "Bacterial small subunit ribosomal RNA", at positions 29 to 507 of the family's 1533-position model. The record is from RNAcentral.
AGUGGACGCUGGCGGUAGGCCUAACACAUGCAAGUCGAACGGCAGCACAGUAAGAGCUUGCUCUUACGGGUGGCGAGUGGCGGACGGGUGAGGAAUACAUCGGAAUCUACUUUUUCGUGGGGGAUAACGUAGGGAAACUUACGCUAAUACCGCAUACGACCUACGGGUGAAAGCAGGGGAUCUUCGGACCUUGCGCGAUUGAACGAGCCGAUGUCGGAUUAGCUAGUUGGCGGGGUAAAGGCCCACCAAGGCGACGAUCCGUAGCUGGUCUGAGAGGAUGAUCAGCCACACUGGAACUGAGACACGGUCCAGACUCCUACGGGAGGCAGCAGUGGGGAAUAUUGGACAAUGGGCGCAAGCCUGAUCCAGCCAUACCGCGUGGGUGAAGAAGGCCUUCGGGUUGUAAAGCCCUUUUGUUGGGAAAGAAAAGCAGCAGGUUAAUACCCCGCUGUUCUGACGGUACCCAAAGAAUAAGCACCGGCUAACUUCGUG